UUGCUAUCUGCAAUUUAUAAGAUUCGAACCUGCAGCAGGUCGAGUCGAACGCAGUGAGACAACGGAGCCGUUUACGGCGACGGCCCGAAGGGCGAGCGAAGCGAGUCAUCCUGCACGACCCACCA
Molecule: small RNA, 125 nt
Filed under: Citrobacter freundii
Lineage: Bacteria; Pseudomonadati; Pseudomonadota; Gammaproteobacteria; Enterobacterales; Enterobacteriaceae
Also listed under: 39 other names
Description: RtT sRNA
Rfam family: RtT RNA
About the family: This family represents a bacterial cis-regulatory element known as RtT RNA. The exact function of RtT is unknown although it is thought that it may be involved in changing the cellular response in relation to amino acid starvation.
Source: RNAcentral